This 379-nucleotide ribosomal RNA is filed under the name uncultured eukaryote. Its description in RNAcentral is "partial 18S ribosomal RNA". It matches the Rfam family "Eukaryotic small subunit ribosomal RNA", at positions 592 to 976 of the family's 1831-position model. The record is from RNAcentral.
CAAUAGCGUAUAUUUAAGUUGUUGCAGUUAAAAAGCUCGUAGUUGGAUUUCGGAUGGGAUUUGCCGGUCCGUCGUUACGAUGUGCACUGGCCAGUCCUAUCUUGUUGUCGGGGACUAGCUCCUUGGAUUCACUUCCUGGGACUAGGAGCUGACGAGGUUACUUUGAGUAAAUUAGAGUGUUCAAAGCAAGCCUACGCUCUGAAUACAUUAGCAUGGAAUAACACGAUAGGACUCUGGCUUAUCUUGUUGGUCUGUGAGACCAGAGUAAUGAUUAAGAGGGACAGUCGGGGACAUUCGUAUUUCAUUGUCAGAGGUGAAAUUCUUGGAUUUAUGAAAGACGAACUUCUGCGAAAGCAUUUGUCAAGGAUGUUCUCAUUAA